This 505-nucleotide ribosomal RNA is filed under the name uncultured bacterium. RNAcentral describes it as "partial 16S ribosomal RNA". It matches the Rfam family "Bacterial small subunit ribosomal RNA", at positions 28 to 507 of the family's 1533-position model. The record is from RNAcentral.
GACGAACGCUGGCGGCGUGCCUAAUACAUGCAAGUAGAACGCACAGUUUAUACCGUAGCUUGCUACACCAUAGACUGUGAGUUGCGAACGGGUGAGUAACGCGUAGGUAACCUGCCUGGUAGCGGGGGAUAACUAUUGGAAACGAUAGCUAAUACCGCAUAAUAUUAAUUAUUGCAUGAUAAUUGAUUGAAAGAUGCAACUGCAUCACUACCAGAUGGACCUGCGUUGUAUUAGCUAGUAGGUGAGGUAACGGCUCACCUAGGCGACGAUACAUAGCCGACCUGGGAGGGUGAUCGGCCACACUGGGACUGAGACACGGCCCAGACUCCUACGGGAGGCAGCAGUAGGGAAUCUUCGGCAAUGGGCGAAAGUCUGACCGAGCAACGCCGCGUGAGUGAAGAAGGUUUUCGGAUCGUAAAGCUCUGUUGUAAGAGAAGAACGGGUGUGAGAGUGGAAAGUUCACACUGUGACGGUAUCUUACCAGAAAGGGACGGCUAACUACGUG